UUCCAGACUCCUACGGGAGGCAGCAGUGAGGAAUAUUGGUCAAUGGGCGGAAGCCUGAACCAGCCAAGUCGCGUGAGGGAAUAAGGCCCUACGGGUCGUAAACCUCUUUUGCCGGGGAGCAAGGGCGGGGACGUGUCCCGGCCCGGAGAGUACCCGAAGAAAAAGCAUCGGCUAACUCCGUGCCAGCAGCCGCGGUAAUACGGAGGAUGCGAGCGUUAUCCGGAUUUAUUGGGUUUAAAGGGUGCGUAGGCGGGCUGUUAAGUCAGCGGUCAAAUGUCGGGGCUCAACCCCGGCCUGCCGUUGAAACUGGCGGCCUCGAGUGGGCGAGAAGUAUGCGGAAUGCGUGGUGUAGUGGUGAAAUGCAUAGAUAUCACGCAGAACUCCGAUUGCGAAGGCAGCAUACCGGCGCCCUACUGACGCUGAGGCACGAAAGCGUGGGUAUCGAACAGGAUUAGAUACCCGGGUA
This 466-nucleotide ribosomal RNA is filed under the name uncultured bacterium. RNAcentral's name for it is "partial 16S ribosomal RNA". It matches the Rfam family "Bacterial small subunit ribosomal RNA", at positions 329 to 792 of the family's 1533-position model. The record is from RNAcentral.